Molecule: ribosomal RNA, 508 nt
Filed under: uncultured bacterium
Lineage: Bacteria
Description: partial 16S ribosomal RNA
Rfam family: Bacterial small subunit ribosomal RNA
Source: RNAcentral
GAUGAACGCUAGCUACAGGCUUAACACAUGCAAGUCGAGGGGAAACGACAUCGAAAGCUUGCUUUUGAUGGGCGUCGACCGGCGCACGGGUGAGUAACGCGUAUCCAACCUGCCCACCACUUGGGGAUAACCUUGCGAAAGUAAGACUAAUACCCAAUGAUAUCUCUAGAAGACAUCUGAAAGAGAUUAAAGAUUUAUCGGUGAUGGAUGGGUAUGCGUCUGAUUAGCUUGUUGGCGGUGUAACGGCCCACCAAGGCUACGAUCAGUAGGGGUUCUGAGAGGAAGGUCCACCACAUUGGAACUGAGACACGGUCCAAACUCCUACGGGAGGCAGCAGUGAGGAAUAUUGGUCAAUGGACGAGAGUCUGAACCAGCCAAGUAGCGUGCAGGAUGACGGCCCUAUGGGUUGUAAACUGCUUUUAUAAGGGAAUAAAGUGAGUCUCGUGAGACUUUUUGCAUGUACCUUAUGAAUAAGGACCGGCUAAUUCCGUGCCAGCCGCCGCCGUAA